AGAGUUUGAUCCUGGCUCAGGAUGAACGCUGGCGGCGUGCCUAACACAUGCAAGUCGAACGGAGUUAUUAUUAUGAAGUUUUCGGAUGGAUUGAUAAUAACUUAGUGGCGGACGGGUGAGUAACGCGUGGGUAACCUGCCUCAUACAGGGGGAUAACAGUUGGAAACGACUGCUAAAACCGCAUAUGCAUACAGUAUCGCAUGAUACAGUGUGGAAAUAUUUAUAGGUAUGAGAUGGGCCCGCGUCUGAUUAGCUAGUUGGUGAGGUAAUGGCUCACCAAGGCGACGAUCAGUAGCCGGCUUGAGAGAGUGACCGGCCACAUUGGGACUGAGACACGGCCCAAACUCCUACGGGAGGCAGCAGUGGGGAAUAUUGCACAAUGGGGGAAACCCUGAUGCAGCGACGCCGCGUGAGUGAAGAAGUAUUUCGGUAUGUAAAGCUCUAUCAGCAGGGAAGAAAAUGACGGUACCUGACUAAGAAGCCCCGGCUAACUACGUGCCAGCAGCCGCGGUAAUACGUAGGGGGCAAGCGUUAUCCGGAUUUACUGGGUGUAAAGGGAGCGUAGGUGGUUCGGUAAGUCAGGUGUGAAAGCCCGGGGCUCAACUCCGGGAUUGCACUUGAAACUAUCGGACUAGAGUGCAGGAGAGGUAAGUGGAAUUCCUAGUGUAGCGGUGAAAUGCGUAGAUAUUAGGAGGAACACCAGUGGCGAAGGCGGCUUACUGGACUGUAACUGACACUGAGGCUCGAAAGCGUGGGGAGCAAACAGGAUUAGAUACCCUGGUAGUCCACGCGGUAAACGAUGAAUACUAGGUGUUGGG
Molecule: ribosomal RNA, 818 nt
Filed under: uncultured bacterium
Lineage: Bacteria
Description: bacterial SSU rRNA
Rfam family: Bacterial small subunit ribosomal RNA
Source: RNAcentral